Molecule: ribosomal RNA, 253 nt
Filed under: uncultured bacterium
Lineage: Bacteria
Description: partial 16S ribosomal RNA
Rfam family: Bacterial small subunit ribosomal RNA
Source: RNAcentral
UACGUAGGGUGCAAGCGUUGUCCGGAAUUAUUGGGCGUAAAGAGCUCGUAGGCGGUCUGUCGCGUCGGAUGUGAAAAUCCAGGGCUCAACCCUGGGAUGCCGGUCGAUACUGCCGGACUAGAGUUCGGAAGAGGCGAGUGGAAUUCCCGGUGUAGUGGUGAAAUGCGUAGAUAUCGGGAGGAACACCAGUGGCGAAGGCGGCUUUCUGGCCUGUUCUUGACGCUGAGGCGCGAAAGCUAGGGUAGCAAACGGG